This 492-nucleotide ribosomal RNA is filed under the name uncultured bacterium. Its description in RNAcentral is "partial 16S ribosomal RNA". It matches the Rfam family "Bacterial small subunit ribosomal RNA", at positions 29 to 507 of the family's 1533-position model. The record is from RNAcentral.
AGUGAACGCUGGCGGUAGGCCUAACACAUGCAAGUCGAACGGCAGCACAGUAAGAGCUUGCUCUUACGGGUGGCGAGUGGCGGACGGGUGAGGAAUACAUCGGAAUCUACUUUUUCGUGGGGGAUAACGUAGGGAAACUUACGCUAAUACCGCAUACGACCUACGGGUGAAAGCAGGGGAUCUUCGGACCUUGCGCGAUUGAAUGAGCCGAUGUCGGAUUAGCUAGUUGGCGGGGUAAAGGCCCACCAAGGCGACGAUCCGUAGCUGGUCUGAGAGGAUGAUCAGCCUCACUGGAACUGAGACACGGUCCAGACUCCUACGGGAGGCAGCAGUGGGGAAUAUUGGACAAUGGGCGCAAGCCUGAUCCAGCCAUACCGCGUGGGUGAAGAAGGCCUUCGGGUCGUAAAGCCCUUUUGUUGGGAAAGAAAAGCAGCAGGUUAAUACCCCGCUGUUCUGACGGUACCCAAAGAAUAAGCACCGGCUAACUUCGUG